Molecule: small nuclear RNA, 109 nt
Organism: Fukomys damarensis (Damara mole-rat)
Lineage: Eukaryota; Metazoa; Chordata; Mammalia; Rodentia; Bathyergidae
Source: Ensembl
UUGCUCACUUUGGCAGCACACACACUAAAAUUACACUGAUGACAGAGAAGAUUAGCAUGUCCCCUGAGCAAGGAUGACAUGGCAAAUUCAUGAAGUGUUCCAAUUUUUU